CCAAUAGCGUAUAUUAAAGUUGUUGCAGUUAAAAAGCUCGUAGUUGAAUUUCGGGAUCAGUAGGUUGGUCGUGCCACCGGUACGUACCGGUCUCACUGAUUCCUCCUUCCUGAGGAACUGUAAUGCCAUUAAUUUGUUGUUGCGGGGAAUCUGGACUGUUACUUUGAAAAAAUUAGAGUGUUUAAAGCAGGCUAACGCUUGAAUACAUUAGCAUGGAAUAAUGAAAUAGGACGUUCGAUCCUAUUUUGUUGGUUUCUAGGAUUGACGUAAUGAUUAAUAGGGAUAGUUGGGGGCAUUAGUAUUCAAUUGUCAGAGGUGAAAUUCUUGGAUUUAUUGAAGACUAACUACUGCGAAAGCAUUUGCCAAGGAUGUUUUCAUUAAUCAAGAACGAAAGUUAGGGGAUCGAAGACGAUCAGAUACCGUCGUAGUCUUAACCAUAAACUAUGCCGACUAGGGAUCGGAUGAUGUUAAUUUUUUAAUGACUCAUUCGGCGCCUUACG
RNAcentral lists this ribosomal RNA (500 nucleotides) under uncultured Glomeromycotina. Its description in RNAcentral is "partial small subunit ribosomal RNA". It matches the Rfam family "Eukaryotic small subunit ribosomal RNA", at positions 591 to 1092 of the family's 1831-position model. Lineage: Eukaryota; Fungi; Glomeromycota. The record is from RNAcentral.